GACGAACGCUGGCGGCGUGCCUAAUACAUGCAAGUAGGACGCAGUUGCGAACGGGUGAGUAACGCGUAGGUAACUGCCUAUCAGAGGGGGAUAACUAUUGGAAACGAUAGCUAAUACCGCAUACUAGUAGAUGGACCUGCGUUGUAUUAGCUAGUAGGUAGGGUAAUGGCCUACCUAGGCGACGAUACAUAGCCGACCUGCGAGGGUGGUCGGCCACACUUGGACUGGGACACGACCCAGGCCCCCACGGGAAGCAGCAGUAGGGAAGCUUCGGCAAUGGGGGGAACCCUGACCGAGCAACGCCGCGUGAGUGAAGAAGGUUUUCGGAUCGUAAAACUCUGUUGUUAAGGAAGCGGUACUUAACCAGGAAGGGACGGCUAACUACGUGCCAGCAGCCGCGGUAAUUC
Molecule: ribosomal RNA, 407 nt
Filed under: uncultured bacterium
Lineage: Bacteria
Description: partial 16S ribosomal RNA
Rfam family: Bacterial small subunit ribosomal RNA
Source: RNAcentral